Molecule: long non-coding RNA, 1610 nt
Filed under: Triticum aestivum (bread wheat)
Lineage: Eukaryota; Viridiplantae; Streptophyta; Magnoliopsida; Poales; Poaceae
Description: long non-coding RNA (TAES_LNC011310)
Source: RNAcentral
ACUAGUAGAAAAAGGGUCAUACGUGAAGCCCAAUAGUGCCGGUUUGUAUUAGAGCCGGCACUAAUGUGUACAAUAGCACCGGUUCGUGGCGGCGAUCAAUAGCACCGGUUCGUGGCUAACCUUUAGUACCGGUUCAUGCCACGAACCGGUACUAAAGAGGCUGUGUCAGCCUGCGGUCAGGCUAUGGCCCCACCAUCACCAUUUAGUGUCGGUUCGUACCACGAACCGGUACUAAUGAGGUUAUGGCAAGCUAUGUUUAGUCCCACCUCGCCAAGAGAGAGGGAGUAAGAGCGGUUUAUAAGCCCUGAGUGCAGAGACAAUGAAGAAGAGGCUCAGUGCUCACGUUGCUUAGCUUCAAGCCUUUGGGAAUACGGUAGAUUGCACGGAGCUACGCGCAGUGCAGUUUACACUAUCCCGAAAGGCUUGAAGCAAAUUAACGAGCAUUGCACCUCUUUUUUAUUUUUAAUAACUUAUUACAACUCCGGACUUCUUCUUUUUUAUUUUUAAUAACUUAUUACAACUCCGGACUUCUUCUGUUAUGGCAAAAGGAAGGAGGAGAAGAAGAAGAAGGAGGAGGAGGAGAAGAAGAAGAAGAAGAGGAAGAAGAAGAAGAAGAAGAGGAGGAGGAAGAAUGAGAAGAAGAAACUCUGGACUUCUUCUUUUUUAUUUUUAAUAACUUAUUACAACUCCGGACUUCUUCUGUUAUGGCAAAAGGAAGGAGGAGAAGAAGAAGGAGGAGNNNNNNNNNNAUUUUUCAUGCAUUUAAUGAUUUGUUUUGAGCUAAAUGACCUGGAAAUUGAAAAGCACUACAAAUGAACUCUAAAAAAGUUGAAACUUGGCAUGGUAUCAUCAUUUCACCCACAUAGAUUGUCCAAAAACAUAGAGAGGGUUACGGCAAAAACUGGAUGCACUUCGUUUACAAACUGGACAAUCUCUUUCGAAGUAUUCAGGUUUCUGACGAAAUUAAACUCAUCUGUUACAAAGAAAUUUCAUUUUUUUUAAACUUAUUACAACUCCAGACUUUUUGUGCAUUCAGUAUGCAUCAUUCAAAGCGACGCCAUCAACUUUCAACCAUUUCUGCCUUCAUUUGAUAUUUUUCAUGCAUUUAAUGAUUUGUUUUGAGCUAAAUGACACUAAUUAAAUUUUGUGCAAGCAGCGCACCACCUUUAGUACCGGUUGGUGGCUCAAACCGGUACUAAAGGGUAAGCUGUUUUUUAGUCCCACCUCGCCAAGAGAGAGGGAGUAGGAGCGGUUUAUAAGCCCUGAGUGCAGAGACGAUGAAGAAGAGGCUCAAUGCUCACGUUGCUUAGCUUCAAGCCUUUAGGAAUAUGGUAGAUUGCACGGAGCUACGGGCAGUGCAGUUUACACUAUUCCGAAAGGCUUGAAGCAAAUUAACGAGCAUUGCACCUCUUUUUUAUUUUUAAUAACUUAUUACAACUCCGGACUUCUUCUUUUUUAUUUUUAAUAACUUAUUACAACUCCGGACUUCUUCUGUUAUGGCAAAAGGAAGGAGGAGAAGAAGAAGGAGGAGGAGGAGGAGAAGAAGAAGAAGAAGAGGAAGAAGAAGAAGAAGAAGAGGAGGAGGAGGAAGAAGGAGAAGAGGAAGAAGA